UACAGAGGGUGCAAGCGUUAAUCGGAAUUACUGGGCGUAAAGCGUGCGUAGACGGUUAUGUAAGUCAGAUGUGAAAGCCCCGGGCUCAACCUGGGAAUUGCAUUUGAGACUGCGUAGCUAGGGUGCGGAAGAGGGAAGCGGAAUUUCCGGUGUAGCGGUGAAAUGCGUAGAUAUCGGAAGGAACACCAGUGGCGAAAGCGGCUUCCUGGCCCAGCACCGACGUUCAGGCACGAAGGCCAGGGGAGCAAACAGG
RNAcentral lists this ribosomal RNA (253 nucleotides) under uncultured bacterium. RNAcentral's name for it is "partial 16S ribosomal RNA". It matches the Rfam family "Bacterial small subunit ribosomal RNA", at positions 524 to 776 of the family's 1533-position model. The record is from RNAcentral.